UAGUCCACGCCGUAAACGAUGAGUACUAGUUGUCGGGGGUAUUGACCCCUCCGGUGACAAAGCUAACGCAUUAAGUACUCCGCCUGGGGAUUACGGUCGCAAGACUAAAACUCAAAGGAAUUGACGGGGGCCCGCACAAGCGGUGGAUCAUGUGGUUUAAUUCGAAGCUACGCGCAGAACCUUACCUGGGCUUGAAAUCCUGAGAAUCCUCUAGAGAUAGAGGAGUGCCCUUCGGGGAAUUCAGUGACAGGCGCUGCAUGGCUGUCGUCAGCUCGUGUUGUGAAAUGUUGGGUUAAGUCUCGCAACGAGCGCAACCCUUGUCCUUAGUUGCCAGCAUUAAGUUGGGCACUCUAGGGANACUGCCUGGGUUAACCAGGAGGAAGGUGGGGAUGACGUCAAGUCCUCAUGGCCCUUAU
Molecule: ribosomal RNA, 416 nt
Filed under: uncultured bacterium
Lineage: Bacteria
Description: bacterial SSU rRNA
Rfam family: Bacterial small subunit ribosomal RNA
Source: RNAcentral